CGAUAGGUGACCUGCGGAAGGAUCAUUA
RNAcentral lists this ribosomal RNA (28 nucleotides) under Russula fragiloides. Its description in RNAcentral is "partial 18S ribosomal RNA". Lineage: Eukaryota; Fungi; Basidiomycota; Agaricomycetes; Russulales; Russulaceae. The record is from RNAcentral.